Molecule: ribosomal RNA, 457 nt
Filed under: uncultured bacterium
Lineage: Bacteria
Description: bacterial SSU rRNA
Rfam family: Bacterial small subunit ribosomal RNA
Source: RNAcentral
UGGGGAAUAUUGGACAAUGGGCGAAAGCCUGAUCCAGCCAUGCCGCGUGUGUGAAGAAGGUCUUCGGAUUGUAAAGCACUUUAAGUUGGGAGGAAGGGUUGUAGAUUAAUACUCUGCAAUUUUGACGUUACCGACAGAAUAAGCACCGGCUAACUCUGUGCCAGCAGCCGCGGUAAUACAGAGGGUGCAAGCGUUAAUCGGACUUACUGGGCGUAAAGGGUGCGUAGGUGGUUAGUUAAGUUGGAUGUGAAAUCCCCGGGCUCAACCUGGGAACUGCAUUCAAAACUGACUGACUAGAGUAUGGUAGAGGGUGGUGGAAUUUCCUGUGUAGCGGUGAAAUGCGUAGAUAUAGGAAGGAACACCAGUGGCGAAGGCGACCACCUGGACUGAUACUGACACUGAGGUGCGAAAGCGUGGGGAGCAAACAGGAUUAGAUACCCACGUAGUCCCUGAGCGG